Molecule: ribosomal RNA, 464 nt
Filed under: uncultured bacterium
Lineage: Bacteria
Description: bacterial SSU rRNA
Rfam family: Bacterial small subunit ribosomal RNA
Source: RNAcentral
AACGAACGCUGGCGGCAGGCCUAACACAUGCAAGUCGAGCGAACCCUUCGGGGUUAGCGGCGGACGGGUUAGUAACGCGUGGGAAUAUGCCCUUCUCUACGGAAUAGUCUCGGGGAAACUGGGGGGUAAUACCGGUAUACGCCCUACGGGGGAAAGAUUUAUCGGAGAAGGAUUAGCCCGCGUUGGAUUAGGUAGUUGGUGGGGUAAUGGCCUACCAAUCCUACGAUCCAUAGCUGGUUUGAGAGGAUGAUCAGCAACACUGGGACUGGAGACACGGCCCAGACUCCUACCGGGAGGCAGCAGUGGGGAAUCUUAGACAAUGGGCGCAAGCCUGAUCUAGCCAUGCCGCGUGGACGAUGAAGGCCUUAGGGUUGUAAAGUCCUUUCAGAUGGGAAGAUAAUGACGGUACCAUCAGAAGAAGCCCCGGCUAACUCCGUGCCAGCAGCCGCGGUAAUGUCUGUACU